RNAcentral lists this ribosomal RNA (253 nucleotides) under uncultured prokaryote. Its description in RNAcentral is "partial 16S ribosomal RNA". It matches the Rfam family "Bacterial small subunit ribosomal RNA", at positions 524 to 776 of the family's 1533-position model. The record is from RNAcentral.
UACAGAGGUCUCAAGCGUUGUUCGGAUUCAUUGGGCGUAAAGGGUGCGUAGGUGGCGCCGUUAGUCAGGUGUGAAAUUUCGGAGCUUAACUCCGAAACUGCAUUUGAUACUGCGGUGCUUGAGGACUGGAGAGGAGACUGGAAUUUACGGUGUAGCAGUGAAAUGCGUAGAUAUCGUAAGGAACACCAGUGGCGAAGGCGAUCACCUGGGGUUGUUCUGACGCUGAGGAGCGAAAGCUAGGGGAGCAAACGGG